This 256-nucleotide ribosomal RNA is filed under the name uncultured bacterium. RNAcentral's name for it is "partial 16S ribosomal RNA". It matches the Rfam family "Bacterial small subunit ribosomal RNA", at positions 524 to 777 of the family's 1533-position model. The record is from RNAcentral.
UACAGAGGUCUCAAGCGUUGUUCGGAUUCAUUGGGCGUAAAGGGUGCGUAGGCGGCGCGGUAAGUCGGGUGUGAAAGUCUCGGAGCUUUAACUCCGAAACUGCAUUCGAUACUGCCGUGCUUGAGGACUGGAGAGGAGACUGGAAUUUACGGUGUAGCGGUGAAAUGCGUAGAUAUCGUAAGGAAGACCAGUGGCGAAGGCGGGUCUCUGGACAGUUCCUGACGCUGAGGCACGAAGGUCAGGGGAGCAAACGGGG